This 677-nucleotide ribosomal RNA is filed under the name uncultured Lachnospiraceae bacterium. Its description in RNAcentral is "bacterial SSU rRNA". It matches the Rfam family "Bacterial small subunit ribosomal RNA", at positions 46 to 741 of the family's 1533-position model. The record is from RNAcentral. Lineage: Bacteria; Bacillati; Bacillota; Clostridia; Lachnospirales; Lachnospiraceae.
GAACGAAGCAAUUAAGAUGAAGUUUUCGGAUGGAAUCUUGAUUGACUGAGUGGCGGACGGGUGAGUAACGCGUGGAUAACCUGCCUCACACUGGGGGAUAACAGUUAGAAAUGACUGCUAAUACCGCAUAAGCGCACAGUGCCGCACGGCAGUGUGUGAAAAACUCCGGUGGUGUGAGAUGGAUCCGCGUCUGAUUAGCCAGUUGGCGGGGUAACGGCCCACCAAAGCGACGAUCAGUAGCCGACCUGAGAGGGUGACCGGCCACAUUGGGACUGAGACACGGCCCAAACUCCUACGGGAGGCAGCAGUGGGGAAUAUUGCACAAUGGGCGAAAGCCUGAUGCAGCGACGCCGCGUGAGUGAAGAAGUAUUUCGGUAUGUAAAGCUCUAUCAGCAGGGAAGAAAAUGACGGUACCUGACUAAGAAGCCCCGGCUAACUACGUGCCAGCAGCCGCGGUAAUACGUAGGGGGCAAGCGUUAUCCGGAUUUACUGGGUGUAAAGGGAGCGUAGACGGCGAAGCAAGUCUGAAGUGAAAACCCAGGGCUCAACCCUGGGACUGCUUUGGAAACUGUUUUGCUAGAGUGUCGGAGAGGUAAGUGGAAUUCCUAGUGUAGCGGUGAAAUGCGUAGAUAUUAGGAGGAACACCAGUGGCGAAGGCGGCUUACUGGACGAUAACU